This 495-nucleotide ribosomal RNA is filed under the name uncultured bacterium. RNAcentral describes it as "partial 16S ribosomal RNA". It matches the Rfam family "Bacterial small subunit ribosomal RNA", at positions 28 to 505 of the family's 1533-position model. The record is from RNAcentral.
GAUGAACGCUGGCGGCGUGCCUAAUACAUGCAAGUCGAGCGAACGGACGAGAAGCUUGCUUCUCUGAUGUUAGCGGCGGACGGGUGAGUAACACGUGGAUAACCUACCUAUAAGACUGGGAUAACUUCGGGAAACCGGAGCUAAUACCGGAUAAUAUUUUGAACCGCAUGGUUCAAAAGUGAAAGACGGUCUUGCUGUCACUUAUAGAUGGAUCCGCGCUGCAUUAGCUAGUUGGUAAGGUAACGGCUUACCAAGGCAACGAUGCAUAGCCGACCUGAGAGGGUGAGCGGCCACACUGGAACUGAGACACGGGCCAGACUCCUACGGGAGGCAGCAGUAGGGAAUCUUCCGCAAUGGGCGAAAGCCUGACGGAGCAACGCCGCGUGAGUGAUGAAGGUCUUCGGAUCGUAAAACUCUGUUAUUAGGGAAGAACAUAUGUGUAAGUAACUGUGCACAUCUUGACGGUACCGAAUCAGAAAGCCACGGCUAACUACG